CCCCGCCAUACUCCCUGCCUGGCUACUGGGUAAUCAGUGUUUUAUUCAUCAACAAAUAAGAGAAGCAUACAUACAUAAGGACAUCCACCAUCAUCUCUUUUCUGUCUAAAUAAAAAGAAAGAUUUUAUAUAUAACAAAACAGUUAUCAAGUAAGAACUACAGUUAACAAUACUUAGUUCCAUUAGCAUUUGGCAAAAUUUAAAGAAAAUAUUCUAUUAUCUAUCUUAUCUUUGUGAGUCUAAAGUUUAAUAGGUCGCUUAUCUUUUAUCAUAACUAAGAAAAACCCUAACCACAACUCUCUGUUUUCAACUCCAUCAAAGACUUCAGAAGGAUAAUUUAUAUACUCUAGAACUGAGAAACAUCUAGCUGCAUGGACAGUCACCCAAAGUCCCAUUGGGGCAUUCAUCUUCAGCCCAUAGGGGUUUUUGUCUAGCAGAUUUCUCAGUAAAGCAGGAAAUUUCAAACUAUCCUGCCUGUAUUGGCCUUUGGUCAGUCAUUUUUCUCUGUGUUCUGCAGAAUAUCUGGCAGACUCUUCCAUGAAGCAGGAACUCUGAAGGACUGUCCCAUCUUGUUUUGGCAAAUUCAGCAGUCACUUUCCUGUGGGUCUUGCAUGUCCACUUUAUACAACAUUUAGUCAAACAGUCCAGGCAAGAGCACUAUCUUGGAUGCUGGAUCACCUGGGACACUGCUUCAGGGGGAAUUUGCCUGAUCAAACCAUAUCAGUCUAGAAGGAAUUCACAGCUUUUCAUCCUCUGUGGAAACAAAAACAGAACCUCUUUUCCAAAGUAACAGGUCCUUAGACUUAAAUUUUGAACUCAAGGCAUUUUCAAAAUAUAUAGGUUGGGUUAAUCCAGCAGCAUUUAUAAUCAAAUGUCUUUUAGCACCUGUUGCUCCUUCCUCAGUAACAAUUCAAAGAAAAUACAACAACACACAGUAUGCAGACUCUCUGUGUAUUUUCCAUCCCUUACGUGGCUUUUAUUACCACAUAACUAGGGUGAUUUUACUUUAUUCAACUCUAAUGAAUAGAGUUCAUGUAGAAAAAAUGAUCAUGGCCAUCUUCCUGUGCCAGAUAACAUAAGCAAUGAAGAACCAUUGCUUAACCCAUGUGUUCUGCCAUGAACUUGGUUGUAGACUGUUGAGGGAAAUAUACUGCUAACUUAUCUUUGAGUUUGGCCAGGCACAGUGGAAAGAAAGACCUUCCCAGGCCCCUCCACAGAGAGAGAUUCUAAGCCUAAGAACUUAGAGCACCAUCUCUAACUAGGAGUCCCUUACAUAACUUAGUCACAUGCCCUGUCCAGCCCAAUUGAGCCAGACACUUGGUGGUGGGGGUUUGGGGGAGUGUACCCCUCUAUCUUUCUUUAAACAAGCCUUUCAUGGUUGUUUAACACCUCCACUAAGGUGGCAGUGCUGGGAAGUGUUAGUUCAGGUGUGGUAGCACACUCACAACCUCAGCACUUGGGAGGCAAAUGCAGAAGGAUUGCCACAGGUUCAAAGCCACCCUGGGCUACAUAGUUAGACUCUGCCUCAAAGAAAAAGUGUCAGGAAGGCAUGGAAGGACAGAGGACCUCCCAGAGAAAGGUAAGGUGUUUUAGAAUAUUAUUUUAACUAGUCAAAGAUGUAACUUGAAUUCUAAUAGGUCCUAAAAGUAAAAACUUGAAGAUAGCAAAGUAAAUGCUGAAAGAUCAGAGAAGUAGAGGAGACAGCCACAGCCACUUCUUACCUCAACAGCUUCUCAGACCGAAAGGAGGUGGGGGAGUUCC
This 1760-nucleotide long non-coding RNA is filed under the name Cricetulus griseus (Chinese hamster). Its description in RNAcentral is "lncRNA (ENSCGRG00015034982.1)". The record is from RNAcentral. Lineage: Eukaryota; Metazoa; Chordata; Mammalia; Rodentia; Cricetidae.